AGAGUUUGAUCAUGGCUCAGGAUGAACGCUGGCGGCGUGCCUAACACAUGCAAGUCGAACGAAGCGGUUUUGAGGAAGUUUUCGGAUGGAAUCGGAAUUGACUGAGUGGCGGACGGGUGAGUAACGCGUGGGUAACCUGCCUCAUACAGGGGGAUAACAGUUAGAAAUGACUGCUAAUACUGCAUAAGCGCACGGGACCGCAUGGUUUUGUGUGAAAAGCCGAGACGGUAUGAGAUGGACCCGCGUCUGAUUAGCUGGUUGGUGGGGUAACGGCCCACCAAGGCGACGAUCAGUAGCCGACCUGAGAGGGUGACCGG
RNAcentral lists this ribosomal RNA (317 nucleotides) under uncultured bacterium. RNAcentral's name for it is "bacterial SSU rRNA". It matches the Rfam family "Bacterial small subunit ribosomal RNA", at positions 8 to 307 of the family's 1533-position model. The record is from RNAcentral.